RNAcentral lists this ribosomal RNA (253 nucleotides) under uncultured bacterium. RNAcentral describes it as "partial 16S ribosomal RNA". It matches the Rfam family "Bacterial small subunit ribosomal RNA", at positions 524 to 776 of the family's 1533-position model. The record is from RNAcentral.
UACGGGGGGGGCAAGCGUUGUUCGGAAUUACUGGGCGUAAAGGGUUCGUAGGUGGCCAACUCAGUCAGACGUGAAAUCCCUCAGCUCAACUGGGGAACUGCGUCUGAUACUAGAUGGCUUGAGUGCAGGAGAGGAACGCGGAAUUCCAGGUGUAGCGGUGAAAUGCGUAGAUAUCUGGAGGAACACCGGUGGCGAAGGCGGCGUUCUGGACUGCAACUGACACUGAGGAACGAUAGCCAGGGGAGCAAACGGG